AUAAAACAAUGAGUAAUUAAUUUUGUAUAGAGAUACAUAAUUAGUCAGAGAACAAACACUUUAUGGAGAGUUUGAUCCUGGCUCAGAGUGAACGCUGGCGGCGUGCUUAACACAUGCAAGUCGAACGAGAACGGGAUUAGCUUGCUAAUCUGUCAGCUAAGUGGCGCACGGGUGAGUAAUAUAUAGGUAACGUGCCUUCAAGAGGGGGAUAACAGAUGGAAACGUCUGCUAAAACCCCAUAUGCCUUUAAUACGAAAGUAUGCAAGGGAAAUAUUUAUAGCUUGAAGAUCGGCCUGUACAGUAUCAGAUAGUUGGUGAGGUAAUAGCUCACCAAGUCAAUGACGCUUAACUGGUUUGAGAGGAUGAUCAGUCACACUGGAACUGAGACACGGUCCAGACUCCUACGGGAGGCAGCAGUGGGGAAUAUUGCACAAUGGGGGAAACCCUGAUGCAGCAACGCCGCGUGGAGGAUGACACAUUUCGGUGCGUAAACUCCUUUUAUAUAAGAAGAUAAUGACGGUAUUAUAUGAAUAAGCACCGGCUAACUCCGUGCCAGCAGCCGCGGUAAUACGGAGGGUGCAAGCGUUACUCGGAAUCACUGGGCGUAAAGAGCGUGUAGGCGGAUAGAUAAGUCAGAAGUGAAAUCCAAUAGCUUAACUAUUGAACUGCUUUUGAAACUGUCUAUCUAGAGUAUGGGAGAGGUAGAUGGAAUUUCUGGUGUAGGGGUAAAAUCCGUAGAGAUCAGAAGGAAUACCGAUUGCGAAGGCGAUCUACUGGAACAUAACUGACGCUGAGACGCGAAAGCGUGGGGAGCAAACAGGAUUAGAUACCCUGGUAGUCCACGCCCUAAACGAUGUACACUAGUUGUUGCCAUGCUCGACAUGGCAGUAAUGCAGUUAACACAUUAAGUGUACCGCCUGGGGAGUACGGUCGCAAGAUUAAAACUCAAAGGAAUAGACGGGGACCCGCACAAGCGGUGGAGCAUGUGGUUUAAUUCGACGAUACGCGAAGAACCUUACCUGGUCUUGACAUAGUAAGAACCAUUUAGAGAUAGAUGGGUGUCUGCUUGCAGAAACUUAUAUACAGGUGCUGCACGGCUGUCGUCAGCUCGUGUCGUGAGAUGUUGGGUUAAGUCCCGCAACGAGCGCAACCCUCGUCAUUAGUUGCUAACACUUCGGGUGAGAACUCUAAUGAGACUGCCUACGCAAGUAGGAGGAAGGUGAGGACGACGUCAAGUCAUCAUGGCCCUUACGACCAGGGCUACACACGUGCUACAAUGGGGUAUACAAAGAGCAGCGAUACAGUGAUGUGGAGCAAAUCUAAAAAAUACCUCCCAGUUCGGAUUGUAGUCUGCAACUCGACUACAUGAAGUUGGAAUCGCUAGUAAUCGUAGAUCAGCAAUGCUACGGUGAAUACGUUCCCGGGUCUUGUACUCACCGCCCGUCACACCAUGGGAGUUGAUUUCACUCGAAGCGGGGAUGCUAAGAUAGCUACCCUCCACAGUGGAAUUAGCGACUGGGGUGAAGUCGUAACAAGGUAACCGUAGGAGAACCUGCGGUUGGAUCACCUCCUUUCA
Molecule: ribosomal RNA, 1576 nt
Filed under: Malaciobacter marinus
Lineage: Bacteria; Pseudomonadati; Campylobacterota; Epsilonproteobacteria; Campylobacterales; Arcobacteraceae
Description: bacterial SSU rRNA
Rfam family: Bacterial small subunit ribosomal RNA
Source: RNAcentral